GCUAAGGCCCCAAAAUGACAGCUAAGUGGCAAAGGAUGUGAAAAUGCGAAAACAACCAGGAGGUUUGCUCAGAAGCAGCCAUCCUUUAAAGAGUGCGUAAUAGCUCACUGGUCCAAGCGUUCUUGCGCCGAAAAUUAUCGGGACUAAGUUGUCUGCCGAAGCUGUGGCUUUAAAUAAUAUGUUUAUUGGGUAGGGGAGCGUUCCGCUCUAGGGUGAAGCACAUUUGUGAUUAUGUGUGGACGAAGCGGAAGUGAGAAUGUCGGCUUGAGUAACGCAAACAUUGGUGAGAAUCCAAUGCCCCGAAAACCUAAGGGUUCCACCGGUAGGGUCGUCCGCGGUGGGUUAGUCAGGACCUAAGGCCAGGCCGAAAGGCGCAGUCGAUGGCAAACAGGUGAAUAUUCCUGUACUAAUUUUAUGUUUGCAGCGAGGGACGAAAUAAGUCUAAACUAAUCCUACUUUGGUUUGUAUGGAUGGAAAUGUUCGAAGAUGCUGUAUGAAUAAAAACAUACCUAAAAGAUCUAAGACAUGAUACGCUAAUAACAAUAUUAAAUGAUUUUUAAGUUAUUUAACUUUUUAUUAGUUAGUUAUUGAUAAUGUUUCCUAGAAAAGCUCCAACUGCUUAUCUUUUUAAGAGAAAUAUAAAAUUACCUGUACCAUAAACCGACACAGGUAGGUGUGAGUAGAGAAUACUCAGGGGCGCGAGAUAACUCUCUCUA
Molecule: ribosomal RNA, 716 nt
Filed under: Leptosira obovata
Lineage: Eukaryota; Viridiplantae; Chlorophyta; Trebouxiophyceae; Leptosiraceae
Description: bacterial LSU rRNA
Rfam family: Bacterial large subunit ribosomal RNA
Source: RNAcentral